GCAAACUUGGUCAUUUAGAGGAAGUAAAAGUCGUAACAAGGUUUCCGUAGGUGAACCUGCGGAAGGAUCAUUAUUGAAUAAACUACCUUGAUGAGCUGUUGCUGGCCUUUAGAGGCAUGUGCACGCCUGUCUUGACUCUAUUCAUCCACCUGUGCACCUUGUGUAGUCCUUUGUUUUCUGAUGCCAGAUUCAUUCAGUGGAAAUACACUGGAUUUGAGGAUUGCCCUGUCACCUUGGCUUGGGCUUUUCUUUACUGAUCUUACUCAGAAAGCACAAAGGUCUAUGUCUUUUUCAUCACAAACUAUGUAGUCUGUCAUCAGAAUGUAAUCAGUGGGCAUUUUGUGUGCCUAUAAAAGUGUUAUACAACUUUCAGCAACGGAUCUCUUGGCUCUCGCAUCGAUGAAGAACGCAGC
This 413-nucleotide unclassified non-coding RNA is filed under the name uncultured fungus. Its description in RNAcentral is "partial contains small subunit ribosomal RNA, internal transcribed spacer 1, and 5.8S ribosomal RNA". The stretch from base 1 to 73 matches the Rfam family "Eukaryotic small subunit ribosomal RNA", at positions 1759 to 1831 of the family's 1831-position model. The record is from RNAcentral. Lineage: Eukaryota; Fungi.